This 492-nucleotide ribosomal RNA is filed under the name uncultured bacterium. RNAcentral's name for it is "partial 16S ribosomal RNA". It matches the Rfam family "Bacterial small subunit ribosomal RNA", at positions 29 to 507 of the family's 1533-position model. The record is from RNAcentral.
AGUGAACGCUGGCGGUAGGCCUAACACAUGCAAGUCGAACGGCAGCACAGUAAGAGCUUGCUCUUACGGGUGGCGAGUGGCGGACGGGUGAGGAAUACAUCGGAAUCUACUUUUUCGCGGGGGAUAACGUAGGGAAACUUACGCUAAUACCGCAUACGACCUACGGGUGAAAGCAGGGGAUCUUCGGACCUUGCGCGAUUGAAUGAGCCGAUGUCGGAUUAGCUAGUUGGCGGGGUAAAGGCCCACCAAGGCGACGAUCCGUAGCUGGUCUGAGAGGAUGAUCAGCCACACUGGAACUGAGACACGGUCCAGACUCCUACGGGAGGCAGCAGUGGGGAAUAUUGGACAAUGGGCGCAAGCCUGAUCCAGCCAUACCGCGUGGGUGAAGGAGGCCUUCGGGUUGUAAAGCCCUUUUGUUGGGAAAGAAAAGCAGCAGGUUAAUACCCCGCUGUUCUGACGGUACCCAAAGAAUAAGCACCGGCUAACUUCGUG